RNAcentral lists this ribosomal RNA (173 nucleotides) under uncultured bacterium. Its description in RNAcentral is "partial 16S ribosomal RNA". It matches the Rfam family "Bacterial small subunit ribosomal RNA", at positions 334 to 524 of the family's 1533-position model. The record is from RNAcentral.
UACUCCUACGGGAGGCAGCAGUGGGGAAUAUUGGACAAUGGGCGAAAGCCUGAUCCAGCAAUGCCGCGUGAGUGAUGAAGGCCUUAGGGUUGUAAAGCUCUUUUACCCGGGAUGAUAAUGACAGUACCGGGAGAAUAAGCCCCGGCUAACUCCGUGCCAGCAGCCGCGGUAAU